Molecule: transfer RNA, 72 nt
Filed under: Camelus bactrianus (Bactrian camel)
Lineage: Eukaryota; Metazoa; Chordata; Mammalia; Artiodactyla; Camelidae
Also listed under: 2 other names
Rfam family: tRNA
About the family: Transfer RNA (tRNA) molecules are approximately 80 nucleotides in length. Their secondary structure includes four short double-helical elements and three loops (D, anti-codon, and T loops).
Source: Rfam by way of RNAcentral
GAGGAUAUAGCUCAGUGGUAGAGUGCAUGCCUAGCAUGCAAGAGGUCCUGGGUUCAAGCCCUAGUGCCUCCA